Molecule: ribosomal RNA, 1355 nt
Filed under: uncultured bacterium
Lineage: Bacteria
Description: bacterial SSU rRNA
Rfam family: Bacterial small subunit ribosomal RNA
Source: RNAcentral
AUUGAACGCUGGCGGCAGGCUUAACACAUGCAAGUCGAACGAUGAUUUCCCAGCUUGCUGGGAAUGAUUAGUGGCGGACGGGUGAGUAACAUUUAGGAAUCUGCCUAGUAGUGGGGGAUAGCUCGGGGAAACUCGAAUUAAUACCGCAUACGACCUACGGGUGAAAGGGGGCGCAAGCUCUUGCUAUUAGAUGAGCCUAAAUCAGAUUAGCUAGUUGGUGGGGUAAAGGCCCACCAAGGCGACGAUCUGUAACUGGUCUGAGAGGAUGAUCAGUCACACCGGAACUGAGACACGGUCCGGACUCCUACGGGAGGCAGCAGUGGGGAAUAUUGGACAAUGGGGGCAACCCUGAUCCAGCCAUGCCGCGUGUGUGAAGAAGGCCUUUUGGUUGUAAAGCACUUUAAGCAGGGAGGAGAGGCUAAUGGUUAAUACCCAUUAGAUUAGACGUUACCUGCAGAAUAAGCACCGGCUAACUCUGUGCCAGCAGCCGCGGUAAUACAGAGGGUGCGAGCGUUAAUCGGAAUUACUGGGCGUAAAGCGAGUGUAGGUGGCUCAUUAAGUCACAUGUGAAAUCCCCGGGCUUAACCUGGGAACUGCAUGUGAUACUGGUGGUGCUAGAAUAUGUGAGAGGGAAGUAGAAUUCCAGGUGUAGCGGUGAAAUGCGUAGAGAUCUGGAGGAAUACCGAUGGCGAAGGCAGCUUCCUGGCAUAAUAUUGACACUGAGAUUCGAAAGCGUGGGUAGCAAACAGGAUUAGAUACCCUGGUAGUCCACGCCGUAAACGAUGUCUACUAGCCGUUGGGGUCCUUGAGACUUUAGUGGCGCAGUUAACGCGAUAAGUAGACCGCCUGGGGAGUACGGCCGCAAGGUUAAAACUCAAAUGAAUUGACGGGGGCCCGCACAAGCGGUGGAGCAUGUGGUUUAAUUCGAUGCAACGCGAAGAACCUUACCUGGUCUUGACAUAGUGAGAAUCCUGCAGAGAUGCGGGAGUGCCUUCGGGAAUUCACAUACAGGCGCUGCAUGGCUGUCGUCAGCUCGUGUCGUGAGAUGUUGGGUUAAGUCCCGCAACGAGCGCAACCCUUUUCCUUAUUUGCCAGCGGGUUAAGCCGGGAACUUUAAGGAUACUGCCAGUGACAAACUGGAGGAAGGCGGGGACGACGUCAAGUCAUCAUGGCCCUUACGACCAGGGCUACACACGUGCUACAAUGGUAGGUACAGAGGGUUGCUACACAGCGAUGUGAUGCUAAUCUCAAAAAGCCUAUCGUAGUCCGGAUUGGAGUCUGCAACUCGACUCCAUGAAGUCGGAAUCGCUAGUAAUCGCAGAUCAGAAUGCUGCGGUGAAUACGUUCCCGGGCCU